This 147-nucleotide microRNA precursor is filed under the name Marmota monax (woodchuck). The record is from RNAcentral. Lineage: Eukaryota; Metazoa; Chordata; Mammalia; Rodentia; Sciuridae.
GCACAUAAGGUCUCUCUCUCUCCUCUCUCUCCUCUCUCUCUCUCUCUCUCUCUCUCUCUCUCUAUAUAUAUAUAUAUAUAUAUAUAUAUAUAUAGAGAGAGAGAGAGAGAGAGAGGGAGGGGAGAGAGAGAGAGAGAGAUAGACACA